CCCCUUGUGAAAAGGGGGGCAUUUGCCCUAUAUAGGGGCUGUCGGGGCAACCCGACUACGGCGCUAAACUGCGUGACAGAAUAGGCUUUACGGACCCGGGGGCGGUACCCGGCGGCUCCACCAAAUUUAUCGGU
Molecule: transfer-messenger RNA, 134 nt
Filed under: Thalassospira sp.
Lineage: Bacteria; Pseudomonadati; Pseudomonadota; Alphaproteobacteria; Rhodospirillales; Thalassospiraceae
Description: partial transfer-messenger RNA
Rfam family: Alphaproteobacteria transfer-messenger RNA
About the family: Bacterial tmRNA, also known as 10Sa RNA or SsrA, is named for its dual tRNA and mRNA-like properties. Its role is to liberate the mRNA from a stalled ribosome.
Source: RNAcentral